Molecule: long non-coding RNA, 2349 nt
Organism: Oncorhynchus tshawytscha (Chinook salmon)
Lineage: Eukaryota; Metazoa; Chordata; Actinopteri; Salmoniformes; Salmonidae
Source: Ensembl
CACACACACACACACACACACACACACACACACACACACACACACACACACACACACACACACACACACACACACACACACACACACACAUACACACACACACAGACACACGGAUAUACACACAUACACACACACACACACACACAGACGUACGUAUAUACACACACACAGAUGUACGGAUAUACACACACACACACACAGACGUACGGAUAUACACACACACACAGACGUUGGGAUAUACACACACACACAGACGUACGGAUAUACACACACACACACAGAAGUACGGAUAUACACACACACACAGACGUACGGAUAUACACACACACACACAGACGUUGGGAUAUACACACACACACAGACGUACGGAUACACACACACACUCACAGACGUUGGGAUAUGCACACACACACAGACACACACACAGACAGACGGAUAUACACACACACACACACAGAAGUACGGAUAUACACACACACACACAGACGUACGGAUAUACACACACACACACACACACACAGACGUACGGAUAUACACACACACACAGACGACGGAUAUACACACACACACAGACGUACGGAUAUACACACACACACACAGACGUACGGAUAUACACACACACAGAUACGUUGGGAUAUACACACACACACACACAGAAAAGUACGGAUAUACACACACACACAGACGUACGGAUAUACACACACACACACAGACGUAUGGAUACACACACACACAGACGUUGGGAUAUGCACACACACACACAGACGUAUGGAUACACACACACACAGACGUUGGGAUAUGCACACACACACAGACAUACGGAUAUGCACACACACACAGACAUACGGAUAUACACACACACACAGACGUACGGAUAUACACACACACACACAGAAGUACGGAUAUACACACACACACACAGACGUACGGAUAUACACACACACACACACACAGACGUUGGGAUACACACACACACACAGACGUACGGAUAUACACACACGCACAGACGUACGGAUAUACACACACACACACAGACGUACGGAUAUACACACACACACAGACGUACGGAUAUACACACACACACACACAUAAACAGACACACACACACCUCCGUUUGACCUCCAGUCGACAGGCCAUGUCACAGGCUGUCGUCUUGUCUUCAUCUCUGUUGCUCUCAUCUUCUCCUCUAACGCAUCCUCUUCUCCCAUUAACACAUUCUCCUUCUUCCAUCACUGCUAUAUCUGACUCAAAAACCGUGCGCGUGUGUGUGAUUGAUCAUCUCCAGUCGGGCUGUGAUCAGUAAUCAGAGGCAGAGCAUCUUUCAGAACUUUAGUAGCUGUCAUGGUGUGUUUCAUUGUUUGGUCGUGAGUAGCACCAACAGCUGAAGAGAGGAGACUGUUAAGUCACUCUGUCUGUCUGUCUGUCUGGCUGUCUGUCUGGCUGGCUGUCUCUGUCUGGCUGGCUGUCUGGCUGUCUGUCUGGCUGUCUGUCUGUCUGGCUGGCUGGCUGUCUCUGUCUGGCUGGCUGGCUGUCUCUGUCUGGCUGGCUGGCUGGCUGUCUCUGUCUGGCUGUCUGGCUGGCUGUCUGUCUCUGUCUGUCUGUCUGGCUGGCUGUCUCUGUCUGGCUGGCUGGCUGACUGGCUCUCUCUCUCUCUCUCUCUCUCUCUCUGGAAGUGUGUUGUCACUUUCACAGCUCUGCCAGGGACCAUUACAAUAUGGUGACUAGGAACACCACUAGCAACAACGUCUCUAUAUUCACAACAACACAAUCCCUACAUCUCUUCAGAUUUGAUGCAAUUCUAUUGUGCAAAACGCUCCAUUGAGGACUGAUAGGAGAGGGCAGCGUAUAAAUUAAGGGUCAAUAGCACUUCUGAAUUGAGCCUCUGAUUCAAUCCGGGAUUCAAUCCGAUCGCCUCUUUUAGGCUAUGCACCUUUUUAAAGGCAAUGUUCCCCAUGUUCGCGGUGACCACAUUUAUGUUAAACACUGCAUAUGUCAGCUCAAUCAGAAAUUACCUUUAAAUGUCAAAGCAAACUAAUAAAGCAGAGCUAACCGCUGAUUGGAUAGAAUGCCAGAGGGCUCAAUUUGAAAAACAACGUAUUGUCUGUGCACACAAUCAUAGAAAAGAUGGACGCAAUUUAUUUACCUUUAAAACAUGUUCCCUGUCAUUUUAGUUAUGCAACCUUUAUAUGCAGUAUGGAGCAGCUGAUGAUUUCAGCAGAUCUGUGAUUAAUGCGGCUUUUAAAGGUUCACGUUUUUUAAUGUCACGUGCACAAGUAUAGUGAAAUGCCUUUCUGUGUGUGUGUGUGUGUGUGUGUGUGUGUGUGUGUGUGUGUGUGUGUGUGUGUGUGU